Molecule: ribosomal RNA, 561 nt
Filed under: Marinobacter sp. NH89-25
Lineage: Bacteria; Pseudomonadati; Pseudomonadota; Gammaproteobacteria; Pseudomonadales; Marinobacteraceae
Description: bacterial SSU rRNA
Rfam family: Bacterial small subunit ribosomal RNA
Source: RNAcentral
UACGCCCUACGGGGGAAAGCAGGGGAUCUUCGGACCUUGCGCUAUUGGAUGAGCCUAUGUCGGAUUAGCUAGUUGGUGGGGUAACGGCCUACCAAGGCGACGAUCCGUAGCUGGUCUGAGAGGAUGAUCAGCCACAUCGGGACUGAGACACGGCCCGAACUCCUACGGGAGGCAGCAGUGGGGAAUAUUGGACAAUGGGGGCAACCCUGAUCCAGCCAUGCCGCGUGUGUGAAGAAGGCUUUCGGGUUGUAAAGCACUUUCAGUGAGGAGGAAAACCUUAAGGUUAAUACCCUUGAGGCUUGACGUUACUCACAGAAGAAGCACCGGCUAACUCCGUGCCAGCAGCCGCGGUAAUACGGAGGGUGCAAGCGUUAAUCGGAAUUACUGGGCGUAAAGCGCGCGUAGGUGGUUCGAUAAGCGAGAUGUGAAAGCCCCGGGCUUAACCUGGGAACGGCAUUUCGAACUGUCGGGCUAGAGUGUGGUAGAGGGUAGUGGAAUUUCCUGUGUAGCGGUGAAAUGCGUAGAUAUAGGAAGGAACACCAGUGGCGAAGGCGGCUACCU